GGGUAUGGCUGUUCGCCAUUUAAAGUGGUACGCGAGCUGGGUUUAGAACGUCGUGAGACAGUUCGGUCCCUAUCUGCCGUGGGCGCUGGAGAAUUGAGGGGGGCUGCUCCUAGUACGAGAGGACCGGAGUGGACGCAUCACUGGUGUUCGGGUUGUCAUGCCAAUGGCAUUGCCCGGUAGCUAAAUGCGGAAGAGAUAAGUGCUGAAAGCAUCUAAGCACGAAACUUGCCCCGAGAUGAGUUCUCCCUGAGACUAUAAGUCUCCUGAAGGAACGUUAAAGACGAUGACGUUGAUAGGUCGGGUGUGUAAGUGUAGCGAUACAUUGAGCUAACCGAUACUAAUGAACCGUGAGGCUUAACCUUACAACGCCGAAG
This 374-nucleotide ribosomal RNA is filed under the name Citrobacter freundii. Its description in RNAcentral is "bacterial LSU rRNA". It matches the Rfam family "Bacterial large subunit ribosomal RNA", at positions 2569 to 2925 of the family's 2925-position model. Lineage: Bacteria; Pseudomonadati; Pseudomonadota; Gammaproteobacteria; Enterobacterales; Enterobacteriaceae. The record is from RNAcentral.